RNAcentral lists this ribosomal RNA (440 nucleotides) under uncultured bacterium. RNAcentral describes it as "partial 16S ribosomal RNA". It matches the Rfam family "Bacterial small subunit ribosomal RNA", at positions 338 to 795 of the family's 1533-position model. The record is from RNAcentral.
CCUACGGGAGGCAGCAGUGGGGAAUAUUGCACAAUGGGGGAAACCCUGAUGCAGCGACGCCGCGUGAGUGAAGAAGUAAGUCGUUAUGUAAAGCUCUAUCAGCAGGGAAGAAAAUGACGGUACCUGUGUAAGAAGCCCCGGCUCACUACGUGCCAGCAGUCGCGGUAAUACGUAGGGGGCAAGCGUUAUCCGGAUUUACUGGGUGUAAAGGGAGCGUAGACGGCAGUGCAAGUCUGGAGUGAAAGGCGGGGGCUCAACCCCCGGACUGCUCUGGAAACUGUACGGCUGGAGUGCAGGAGAGGUAAGUGGAAUUCCUAGUGGAGCGGGGAAAUGCGUAGAUAUUAGGAGGAACACCAGUGGCGAAGGCGGCUUACUGGACUGUAACUGACGUUGAGGCUCGAAAGCGUGGGGAGCAAACAGGAUUAGAUACCCGGGUAGUC